This 371-nucleotide ribosomal RNA is filed under the name uncultured bacterium. RNAcentral describes it as "bacterial SSU rRNA". It matches the Rfam family "Bacterial small subunit ribosomal RNA", at positions 144 to 508 of the family's 1533-position model. The record is from RNAcentral.
UAACGUCGAGAAAUCGGCGCUAAUACCUCAUAAGUGCAGCGGAUCCGCAUGGAUAUGUUGUUAAAGGUUUACCGCCUUGGGAUAGGCUUGCGUCUGAUUAGCUAGUUGGUGUGGUAAACGGCACACCCAAGGCUACGAUCAGUAACUGGGUCUGAGAGGAUGAUCAGUCACACUGGAACUGAGACACGGUCCAGACUCCUACGGGAGGCAGCAGUGAGGAAUAUUGGGCAAUGCUCGAAAGAGUGACCCAGCAACGCCGCGUGGAGGAUGAAGGUAUUCUAUAUCGUAAACUUCCUGUGAGAGCAGACGAAAGACAGAUUAUUAAAUCUGGAUGACUGUAUGCUCAGAGGAAGCCCCGGCUAACUACGUGC